Molecule: unclassified non-coding RNA, 285 nt
Filed under: Hevea brasiliensis (rubber tree)
Lineage: Eukaryota; Viridiplantae; Streptophyta; Magnoliopsida; Malpighiales; Euphorbiaceae
Source: RNAcentral
UGCCGUACAAGACCGCCAGCCUCCGCGACCACUACCGCAUCGGCAAGAAGCUCGGCCAGGGCCAGUUCGGCACCACGUACCUCUGCAUCAACAAGUCAGACGGCGGCGAGUACGCCUGCAAGUCGAUCCCGAAGCGUAAGCUCCUCUGCCGCGAGGACUACGAGGACGUAUGGCGCGAGAUCCAGAUCAUGCACCACCUCUCCGAGCACGCCAACGUCGUCCGCAUCAAGGACACCUACGAGGACCACCUCUUCGUACACAUUGUCAUGGAGCUCUGCAAGGGCG